This 507-nucleotide ribosomal RNA is filed under the name uncultured bacterium. RNAcentral describes it as "partial 16S ribosomal RNA". It matches the Rfam family "Bacterial small subunit ribosomal RNA", at positions 28 to 506 of the family's 1533-position model. The record is from RNAcentral.
GACGAACGCUGGCGGCGUGCCUAAUACAUGCAAGUCGAGCGCUUCUUUCCUCCCGAGUGCUUGCACUCAAUUGGAAAGAGGAGUGGCGGACGGGUGAGUAACACGUGGGUAACCUACCCAUCAGAGGGGGAUAACACUUGGAAACAGGUGCUAAUACCGCAUAACAGUUUAUGCCGCAUGGCAUAAGAGUGAAAGGCGCUUUCGGGUGUCGCUGAUGGAUGGACCCGCGGUGCAUUAGCUAGUUGGUGAGGUAACGGCUCACCAAGGCCACGAUGCAUAGCCGACCUGAGAGGGUGAUCGGCCACACUGGGACUGAGACACGGCCCAGACUCCUACGGGAGGCAGCAGUAGGGAAUCUUCGGCAAUGGACGAAAGUCUGACCGAGCAACGCCGCGUGAGUGAAGAAGGUUUUCGGAUCGUAAAACUCUGUUGUUAGAGAAGAACAAGGACGUUAGUAACUGAACGUCCCCUGACGGUAUCUAACCAGAAAGCCACGGCUAACUACGU